Molecule: ribosomal RNA, 370 nt
Filed under: Curtobacterium sp.
Lineage: Bacteria; Bacillati; Actinomycetota; Actinomycetes; Micrococcales; Microbacteriaceae
Description: bacterial SSU rRNA
Rfam family: Bacterial small subunit ribosomal RNA
Source: RNAcentral
AUAUUGGGCGUAAGAGCUCGUAGGCGGUUUGUCGCGUCUGCUGUGAAUCCCGAGGCUCAACCUCGGGCUUGCAGUGGGUACGGGCAGACUAGAGUGCGGUAGGGGAGAUUGGAAUUCCUGGUGUAGCGGUGGAAUGCGCAGAUAUCAGGAGGAACACCGAUGGCGAAGGCAGAUCUCUGGGCCGUAACUGACGCUGAGGAGCGAAAGCGUGGGGAGCGAACAGGAUUAGAUACCCUGGUAGUCCACGCCGUAAACGUUGGGCGCUAGAUGUAGGGACCUUUCCACGGUUUCUGUGUCGUAGCUACGCAUUAAGCGCCCCGCCUGGGAAGUACGGCCGCAAGGCUAAAAUUCAAAGAAUUGACGGGGGCCC